This 83-nucleotide transfer RNA is filed under the name Dreissena polymorpha. RNAcentral describes it as "transfer RNA serine (anticodon UGA)". It matches the Rfam family "tRNA". From Rfam's summary of the family: Transfer RNA (tRNA) molecules are approximately 80 nucleotides in length. Their secondary structure includes four short double-helical elements and three loops (D, anti-codon, and T loops). Further hydrogen bonds mediate the characteristic L-shaped molecular structure. tRNAs have two regions of fundamental functional importance: the anti-codon, which is responsible for specific mRNA codon recognition, and the 3' end, to which the tRNAs corresponding amino acid is attached (by aminoacyl-tRNA synthetases). tRNAs cope with the degeneracy of the genetic code in two manners: having more than one tRNA (with a specific anti-codon) for a particular amino acid; and 'wobble' base-pairing, i.e. permitting non-standard base-pairing at the 3rd anti-codon position. The record is from Rfam by way of RNAcentral. Lineage: Eukaryota; Metazoa; Mollusca; Bivalvia; Myida; Dreissenidae.
GUUGCUGUUGCCGAGUGGUUAAGGCGAUAGACUUGAAAUCUUUUUGGGAUUUUCCCGCGCAGGUUCGAAUCCUGCCGACAACG